GAUAUCAUUCUCUGCAUUUUCAUUUUUCGCCCUUUUUUUCAUUUUUCGCCCUUUUUGAAGGGAACUGGAGAAGUCGACUUUGACCAAUUUUGCCUAUGUAUCAUUUGUCGUGCCAAUGAUUGAUUCUGUCACCAGAAUCUUUUAAAAUUCAGCUUAAAGCGCCAAUGAUUGAUUCUUAAAGAAUAUGUAUCAUUUUUAAAAUUCAAUUCAGCUUAAAGCUUAAACACACACGUUCUACUCUGGCACAAUGAUUUGUCGUGCCAAUGUCACCAGAAAAUGUUACGCUCUUAAACCACUCUAGUCUGGCACGCUUGUCGUGACUCAACGGUUCCAUCUCUAAACUUUGAAGCU
Molecule: long non-coding RNA, 351 nt
Filed under: Panicum hallii
Lineage: Eukaryota; Viridiplantae; Streptophyta; Magnoliopsida; Poales; Poaceae
Description: long non-coding RNA (PHAL_LNC000869)
Source: RNAcentral